This 329-nucleotide long non-coding RNA is filed under the name Mytilus galloprovincialis (Mediterranean mussel). Lineage: Eukaryota; Metazoa; Mollusca; Bivalvia; Mytilida; Mytilidae. The record is from RNAcentral.
GCAUUUAAACAAAACAGGACAUUAUUUCAUCUUUCAUUAUCCUGUAUUUCUUGGUGGGUUUGUAUUCAUAUUUAUCUUGAUUCAUGAAAAGAAUUUAGUUUAUCAACUUAAGUUAGGUACUUUUUAACAAAACACAUGUAGUAAAAUGCUACGCGGGAGUGAUGCUUUGCCGUGAUUCAAUGUGUCAAUACUUUUCGAAAAUAACCCUGCUUAUUUAUAUGUUGAAAACCAUUUCACUACAAAAAAAUGUCGAUAUAGCCCUAACCCCCUAAACACACAUGAAGUUCACUAGUGUAAAGCUAGACGGCAUUACCAUUUAUAAGGCCAGA